GAUGAAGAACGCAGCAAAAUGCGAUAAGUAAUGUGAAUUGCAGAAUUCAGUGAAUCAUCGAAUCUUUGAACGCACAUUGCGCCCGCCAGUAUUCUGGCGGGCAUGCCUGUUCGAGCGUCAUUUCAACCCUCAAGCCCUCGGGUUUGGCGUUGGGGAUCGGCGAGCCUUUCUGGCAAGCCGGCCCCGAAAUCUAGUGGCGGUCUCGCUGCAGCCUCCAUUGCGUAGUAGUAAAACCCUCGCAACUGGAACGCGGCGCGGCCAAGCCGUUAAACCCCCAACUUCUGAAUGUUGACCUCGGAUCAGGUAGGAAUACCCGCUGAACUUAAGCAUAUCAAUAAGCGGAGGA
RNAcentral lists this unclassified non-coding RNA (346 nucleotides) under soil metagenome. Its description in RNAcentral is "partial contains 5.8S ribosomal RNA, internal transcribed spacer 2, and large subunit ribosomal RNA". The stretch from base 1 to 120 matches the Rfam family "5.8S ribosomal RNA", at positions 35 to 154 of the family's 154-position model. The record is from RNAcentral.